This 403-nucleotide ribosomal RNA is filed under the name Fusobacteriota bacterium. RNAcentral's name for it is "Fusobacteria bacterium partial 16S ribosomal RNA". It matches the Rfam family "Bacterial small subunit ribosomal RNA", at positions 355 to 776 of the family's 1533-position model. Lineage: Bacteria; Fusobacteriati; Fusobacteriota. The record is from RNAcentral.
UGGGGAAUAUUGCACAAUGGAGGGAACUCUGAUGCAGCGACGCCGCGUGAACGAAGAAGGCUUUCGAGUCGUAAAGUUCUUUUGUAUGGGAAGAUAAUGACGGUACCAUAAGAAAAAGCCCCGGCUAACUACGUGCCAGCAGCCGCGGUAAUACGUAGGGGGCUAGCGUUGUCCGGAAUCACUGGGCGUAAAGGGUUCGCAGGCGGAAAUGCAAGUCAGGUGUAAAAGGCAGUAGCUUAACUACUGUAAGCAUUUGAAACUGCAUAUCUUGAGAAGAGUAGAGGUAAGUGGAAUUUUUAGUGUAGCGGUGAAAUGCGUAGAUAUUAAAAAGAAUACCGGUGGCGAAGGCGACUUACUGGGCUCAUUCUGACGCUGAGGAACGAAAGCGUGGGUAGCAAACAGG